Molecule: ribosomal RNA, 710 nt
Filed under: uncultured bacterium
Lineage: Bacteria
Description: bacterial SSU rRNA
Rfam family: Bacterial small subunit ribosomal RNA
Source: RNAcentral
CACGNGUAGCAGUGAAAUGCGUAGAGAUGUGGAGGAAUACCGAUGGCGAAGGCAGCCUCCUGGGAUAAUACUGACGUUCAUGCUNGAAAGCGUGGGUAGCAAACAGGAUUAGAUACCCUGGUAGUCCACGCCCUAAACGAUGUCAAUUAGCUGUUGGGCAACAUGAUUGCUUAGUAGCGUAGCUAACGCGUGAAAUUGACCGCCUGGGGAGUACGGUCGCAAGAUUAAAACUCAAAGGAAUUGACGGGGACCCGCACAAGCGGUGGAUGAUGUGGAUUAAUUCGAUGCAACGCGAAGAACCUUACCUGGUCUUGACAUGUACGGAAUCUUCCAGAGACGGAAGAGUGCCUUCGGGAGCCGUAACACAGGUGCUGCAUGGCUGUCGUCAGCUCGUGUCGUGAGAUGUUGGGUUAANNNNNNCAACGAGCGCAACCCUUGUCAUUAGUUGCCACCAUUCAGUUGGGCACUCUAAUGAGACUGCCGGUGACAAACCGGAGGAAGGUGGGGAUGACGUCAAGUCCUCAUGGCCCUUAUGACCAGGGCUUCACACGUCAUACAAUGGUCGGUACAGAGGGUAGCCAAGCCGCGAGGUGGAGCCAAUCUCAGAAAACCGAUCGUAGUCCGGAUUGCACUCUGCAACUCGAGUGCAUGAAGUCGGAAUCGCUGGUAAUCGCAGGUCAGCAUACUGCGGUGAAUACGUUCCCGGGUCU